RNAcentral lists this ribosomal RNA (930 nucleotides) under methanogenic bacterium enrichment culture clone Me_c28. RNAcentral describes it as "bacterial SSU rRNA". It matches the Rfam family "Bacterial small subunit ribosomal RNA", at positions 9 to 965 of the family's 1533-position model. The record is from RNAcentral.
GAGUUUGAUCCUGGCUCAGGACGAACGCUGGCGGCGUGCCUAACACAUGCAAGUCGAACGAGGUAGCAAUACCUAGUGGCGGACGGGUGAGUAACGCGUAGGUAAUCUGCCCAUUGGUGGGGGAUAACAGUCCGAAAGGGCUGCUAAUACCGCAUAAGCCGGGGAGGGGAAGGCCCUUUUCGGGAAAGAUUUAUUGCCGAUGGAUGAGCCUGCGUCUGAUUAGCUAGUUGGUGGGGUAACGGCCCACCAAGGCGACGAUCAGUAGCUGGUCUGAGAGGACGAUCAGCCACACUGGAACUGAGACACGGUCCAGACUCCUACGGGAGGCAGCAGUGGGGAAUUUUCCGCAAUGGGCGAAAGCCUGACGGAGCGACGCCGCGUGGGUGAUGAAGUCUUUCGGGAUGUAAAGCCCUUUCAGCAGGGAAGAAGACAGUGACGGUACCUGCAGAAGAAGCAUCGGCUAACUACGUGCCAGCAGCCGCGGUAAGACGUAGGAUGCAAGCGUUGUCCGGAUUUAUUGGGCGUAAAGAGAACGUAGGUGGCUAUUUAAGUCUGAGGUGAAAGCCCACGGCUCAACCGUGGAUCCGCCUUGGAUACUGGGUAGCUUGAGGAGCGCAGAGGAAAGUGGAAUUCCCAGUGUAGCGGUGAAAUGCGUAGAUAUUGGGAGGAACACCAGUGGCGAAAGCGACUUUCUGGGCGUUUCCUGACGCUGAGGUUCGAAAGCCAGGGGAGCAAACGGGAUUAGAUACCCCGGUAGUCCUGGCCGUAAACGAUGGAUACUAGGUGUAGUUGGUAUCGACCCCGACUGUGCCGAAGCUAACGCGUUAAGUAUCCCGCCUGGGGAGUACGGCCGCAAGGCUGAAACUCAAAGGAAUUGACGGGGGCCCGCACAAGCGGUGGAGCAUGUGGUUUAAUUCGAUGCAACGCGAA